GUAUUUAGUCAAAAAGUCGGGAUUUUUUUUUUCCCCCAAACAGAAAGGUUGUGAAAGGUGGCCACAUAAUUGCAGAUUAAAAUAAAGCUAUUUCCCCAGUGUUAG
This is a long non-coding RNA of Thalassophryne amazonica, 105 nucleotides long. RefSeq lists it as uncharacterized. The transcript has 3 exons. NCBI's taxonomy places the organism in Eukaryota, Metazoa, Chordata, Actinopteri, Batrachoidiformes, Batrachoididae. The record is from RefSeq and is a predicted model, not a curated record.